CUGCCUCAGCCUCCCGGGUAGCUGGGACUACAGGCGCCCGCGACCACGCCCGGCUAAUUUUUUUUUGUAUUUUUUUUUAGUAGAGACCGGGUUUCGCCGUGUUAGCCAGGAUGGUCUCGAUCUCCUGACCUCGUGAUCCACCCGCCUUGGCCUCCCAAAGUGCUGGGAUUACAGGCGUGAGUAACCGCACCCGGCAGUAGUACCUACUUUUUAAAGUGUAAGCAAGGAAAGUUGGCCCGCACCUGUAGUCCCAUCUACCUGGGAGGCUGAGGUGGAAGAAUUGCUUGAGCCCAGUUGGUCGAGGCUGCAAUGAGCCUUGAUCACGCCACUGCACUCCAGCCUGGGCAACAGAACAAGACCCUGUCUCAAACAAAAAAGUGUAUGUAAGAAUAAAAAUUAAUAGAUUAGGCACAGGAUGGGUGUUUAAUUCUCGGCAAUCACCACUAAGUUUUCAUACUGAGGCUUAUUCAUUCCAUGGGCAAAACAUUGCGCUAUGUGUGGUGCCUGGGGUGGGCUCCAAAUUCCAGUCCUCUCCUCGCUUGCGAUAGCUGUGUGAUCCAUUCCUAAGUUUCCUUAUUUGUCCACAGAGCGUACACAGGGUUUUUAUGAAAACUAGAUCAGAUAAUCAGACACAGUUAAAAUAGCACGCGCUCAGUAAAAUUACAUAUUAGUGGAAGAGACAAGCCUUGAAUAAAUCGCCUUUCGGGGAGUAUGACCCCCUCCCCGAAACCCACUCAGGCGCUGCUCGCUCGCACGCCCACUGAGCUCGGAGCGGAGCCCGAGCCCUUUCCCAGCACACAGGGUUCAUUUCCAGACUGAAAGACAUCCCAGAGACAACUCCAGAGGCCAAGGCGGGUCGGCUUCCUGCGUGGGCCCAGCGCCGGGCACUGAAAGGCGGAUAAAACGGUCCCAUCAAGACUGAGAAAAAGCACACCAGCUAUUGGCACAGCGUGGGCAGUGGGGCCUACAGGAUGACUGACUUAGUCUACAGAGAUCCCGGCGUACUUAAGCAGAUGAAGACUCUUAAGAUGACAGAAGGUGAUUUUUCUGGUGAUCGAGGACUUCCGGGGUAAUGACAGUGAUGAAAUGCAGGGGACCUGGUUGCCCCCAAGUUUCCUGGCAGUGUGUGAUACUGAGGAGGUGAGCUUGUUUCUGGAGCUGUGCUUUAAGAUUCAUGUUACAUGUAAAGCUGUCCUCAUUUGUGACUAUGGACCUAUGGAGUUGGGACAAUCUCUAUGGGAAGCAGAAGGCAAGGACCCCGGUCAUUUUAGGUAGAAACAACAGCAUGCUAAUGCAAAAAAUUAUGCAGUGUGCUACUGAACUUCAGAGGUGAUCAAUAAAAGAAGAAUAAAAAGACUAAUAAAAGUAAAAAAAAAAAAAAAA
This 1383-nucleotide long non-coding RNA is filed under the name Homo sapiens (human). RNAcentral's name for it is "small nucleolar RNA host gene 12, transcript variant 3 (SNHG12)". Lineage: Eukaryota; Metazoa; Chordata; Mammalia; Primates; Hominidae. The record is from RNAcentral.